CCUCGGGAGGCAGCAGUGGGGAAUAUUGCACAAUGGGGGGAACCCUGAUGCAGCAAUGCCGCGUGGGUGAAGAAGCACUCCGGUGCGUAAAGCCCUGUCAGCAGGGAAGAAAAUGACAGUACCUGACCAAGAAGCCCCGGCUAACUACGUGCCAGCAGCCGCGGUAAUACGUAGGGGGCAAGCGUUAUCCGGAUUUACUGGGUGUAAAGGGAGCGUAGACGGCAGCGCAAGUCUGGAGUGAAAUGCCGGGGCCCAACCCCGGAACUGCUCUGGAACCUGUGAAGCUGGAGUGCAGGAGAGGUAAG
This 305-nucleotide ribosomal RNA is filed under the name uncultured bacterium. RNAcentral's name for it is "bacterial SSU rRNA". It matches the Rfam family "Bacterial small subunit ribosomal RNA", at positions 339 to 661 of the family's 1533-position model. The record is from RNAcentral.